Molecule: ribosomal RNA, 422 nt
Filed under: uncultured archaeon
Lineage: Archaea
Description: partial 16S ribosomal RNA
Rfam family: Archaeal small subunit ribosomal RNA
Source: RNAcentral
CUACGGGGCGCUCCAGGUGAGAAAACUUUGCAGUGUGCGAAAGCACGACAAGGUUAGUCCGAGUGGUUUCUGCUAAAGGAACCUUUUGUCAGUCCUAGAAACACUGAUGAAUAAGGGGUGGGCAAGUUCUGGUGUCAGCCGCCGCGGUAAAACCAGCACCUCAAGUGGUCAGGAUGAUUAUUGGGCCUAAAGCAUCCGUAGCCUGCUUUGUUAGUUUUCGGUUAAAUCCAUACGCUCAACGUAUGGGCUGCCGGGAAUACUGCAAAGCUAGGGAGUGGGAGAGGUAGACGGUACUCGGUAGGAAGGGGUAAAAUCCUUUGAUCUAUUGAUGACCACCUGUGGCGAAGGCGGUCUACCAGAACACGUCCGACGGUGAGGGAUGAAAGCUGGGGGAGCAAACCGGAUUAGAUACCCCUGUAGUC